AAGGUCUUGUGGAAGUUAUUGCCUUGACAUGUUGACUGAGCUAUUUCCCCUCCAGGACUUGACAUUUAUCCCCUGUCUUCCAACACCUUGUCGUGGGGGAAGAAGGACGUCUAUAGGAAUGAGACCUGUGCCACUGGGGCUUUGUGAGGGGGAGCCCUGACAUCUUAGAGAUGCCCUGAAAGCCCGGCUACAGAGAAAUCUCCUGGGACACAACAAGUUCUC
Molecule: long non-coding RNA, 222 nt
Filed under: Bos grunniens (domestic yak)
Lineage: Eukaryota; Metazoa; Chordata; Mammalia; Artiodactyla; Bovidae
Description: lncRNA (ENSBGRG00000025348.1)
Source: RNAcentral